This 69-nucleotide transfer RNA is filed under the name Ogcocephalus nasutus (shortnose batfish). Its description in RNAcentral is "tRNA-His". It matches the Rfam family "tRNA". From Rfam's summary of the family: Transfer RNA (tRNA) molecules are approximately 80 nucleotides in length. Their secondary structure includes four short double-helical elements and three loops (D, anti-codon, and T loops). Further hydrogen bonds mediate the characteristic L-shaped molecular structure. tRNAs have two regions of fundamental functional importance: the anti-codon, which is responsible for specific mRNA codon recognition, and the 3' end, to which the tRNAs corresponding amino acid is attached (by aminoacyl-tRNA synthetases). tRNAs cope with the degeneracy of the genetic code in two manners: having more than one tRNA (with a specific anti-codon) for a particular amino acid; and 'wobble' base-pairing, i.e. permitting non-standard base-pairing at the 3rd anti-codon position. The record is from RNAcentral. RNAcentral also lists the same sequence under 2 other names. Lineage: Eukaryota; Metazoa; Chordata; Actinopteri; Lophiiformes; Ogcocephalidae.
GUAGACGUAGUUUAAAAAAAACGCUAGAUUGUGAUUCUAUAGACAGGGGUUAAAACCCCCUCGCCCACC